RNAcentral lists this small nuclear RNA (164 nucleotides) under Catagonus wagneri (Chacoan peccary). Its description in RNAcentral is "U1 spliceosomal RNA (ENSCWAG00000013379.1)". It matches the Rfam family "U1 spliceosomal RNA". From Rfam's summary of the family: U1 is a small nuclear RNA (snRNA) component of the spliceosome (involved in pre-mRNA splicing). Its 5' end forms complementary base pairs with the 5' splice junction, thus defining the 5' donor site of an intron. Lineage: Eukaryota; Metazoa; Chordata; Mammalia; Artiodactyla; Tayassuidae. The record is from Rfam by way of RNAcentral.
AUACUUACCUUGCAGGGGUGAUACCAUGAUCAGGAAGGUAGUUUUCCCAGAGCGAGGCUUAUCCAUUGCACUCCAGAUAUGCUGACCACUGCGAUUUCCCCAAAUGUGGGAAACUCACUGCAUAAUUUGUGGUAGUGGGGAACUAACAUGCACUCUUUUCCCUG